UGGCACAAUUGUCAAUAUUGAUAUUUGUUGUAAAUGACAAUGUUUCACUCUGCUCAUAUGCAAUAUGAUAACAUAUGACGUCAUUGGAUGAAAAAACAUUUUACAGUGAAUUUGGAUGAAGAGACUUUAAAGAGGCUCAAAUCAGAGACUUCAUUAAUCAGAGUAUGCUAUAUAGGUACAUAAAGUGCUUAAUUAUUGUGGUUGUCUCACCUAGUUAUAUUAAUAUGAAUGGAUAGAGAUGCUCUGGAUAAGAGUGUCUGCUAAAUGACUCAAAUGUAAAUGAUAAAACAUGAGUAUUACUUGCUAUAAUAUUUCCUAUAUUAAUAGUGUAAAAUACUGUAAUUGUAUGUAAAGAUGUGUAAUGCUUUAUGAGUAUAGUAAAGCUCUACAAAGCUGUGUGGAGCUAUAUGAGUGGUUCUGUUAGUGCAGGGUGAGCUCACUCUUGUGUGAAGGAGGUUUUUGUACGGCGUCUUAACUAGACUGUAUCACUGUGGUACACGUUCGGUGGAGGGACCAAACUGCUGCUGAAAACUGGUCCUACUGUCAGUCCCACAGUGUCUCUGCUCCCCCCCUCCUCUGAGCAGCUCUCUGGGGGCUCUGCCUCACUGGCCUGCCUGCUGACUGACUACUCCCCUCAGGGGGCGCUGGUGAGCUGGGAGGUGGACGGGCUGGAGGUGAGACAGGGGGUCGUGACCAGUCCAGAAGAAGAGAAGGAAGGCCUUUACAGACGCAGCAGCACCCUGACCCUGAGCAAGGCAGGCUGGGAGCAGGGAGAACUCUACACCUGCAGGGUCUCCCACUUCCAACACACCCAGGCCUCCCCUCUUCGCAGGAGCCAGUGUCUGGUCUAGGGCCUAGUAGAGGAGGCCCACAACAGGAGCUCUGUCUGGGGAAGCAGGAGUAGACGAGGCUCUGGUCUGGUCUGGGGCCUGGUUGGAGCAGUAGUAGUGUGUUAGAGUAGUGUACUGAGUAAACUCUAGUACUGCUGGGGAGACCACAGUCUGGGUAGUAAUGUGUAUUGUAUAGAGUACAGGAGACUUCUAUGUGUUCUGUACUCAGACUGUUACUGUGAUGUUGCUGUAUGUCUCAGUUCUAAUAAAGUUGGAUUUGAAAAUAA
Long non-coding RNA from Salvelinus fontinalis (brook trout), 1117 nucleotides. RefSeq lists it as uncharacterized. The record is from RefSeq and is a predicted model, not a curated record. The transcript is spliced from 2 exons. Lineage: Eukaryota; Metazoa; Chordata; Actinopteri; Salmoniformes; Salmonidae.